GUGGGGAAUCUUCCGCAAUGGACGAAAGUCUGACGGAGCAACGCCGCGUGAGUGAUGAAGGUCUUCGGAUUGUAAAGCUCUGUUAAUCGGGACGAAAGAGCCUAGUGUGAAUAAUGCUAGGAAGUGACGGUACCGGAAUAGAAAGCCACGGCUAACUACGUGCCAGCAGCCGCGGUAAUACGUAGGUGGCAAGUGUUGUCCGGAAUUAUUGGGCGUAAAGCGCGCGCAGGCGGAUCUGCCAGUCUGUCUUAAAAGUUCGGGGCUUAACCCCGUGAUGGGAUGGAAACUACAGAUCUAGAGUAUCGGAGAGGAAAGUGGAAUUCCUAGUGUAGCGGUGAAAUGCGUAGAUAUUAGGAAGAACACCAGUGGCGAAGGCGACUUUCUGGACGAAAACUGACGCUGAGGCGCGAAAGCCAGGGGAGCGAACGGGAUUAGAUACCCGUGUAGUCC
Molecule: ribosomal RNA, 450 nt
Filed under: uncultured bacterium
Lineage: Bacteria
Description: partial 16S ribosomal RNA
Rfam family: Bacterial small subunit ribosomal RNA
Source: RNAcentral